Molecule: long non-coding RNA, 1414 nt
Filed under: Anas platyrhynchos platyrhynchos (common mallard)
Lineage: Eukaryota; Metazoa; Chordata; Aves; Anseriformes; Anatidae
Description: lncRNA (ENSAPLG00000028927.1)
Source: RNAcentral
AAACAGGAGAACAUAAGAGGAAUGGGGGUUAUCUGGUUAGGAUUUAGUUCUCCACUCCCAUUCUUUACAAUACAGCAUUAAAUACAGCAAUGCCCCUUACAUUAAGCUACUUUACUAUUAAUAUGCCAGACGGUGUUUUCCUCAAUGCAAUGUGUUAGACAUAUAACUUAAUACUAUCUGUUUUAAUCAAUUUAGUCUUUAGCAUAACAGAAUGUACAAAUUUGUAUGUUAUAAUUAUCAGUGAUCGAAUAAUAGUAAAGCGGAGUAAGCACUGUGCACUUGCAGAUAAUUUGUUUGUUACCAUUUGCCUGAAUUAAUCAUUACUUCUGAUUUUACAUAUCUACACUUCUUUUACAUUUGUUUUCAUUUUCACUCUAUAUCUAUGCAGAGGUAAUUGAAACAAAUGAUAUGCCUCACUAUGGGACACGAAUUUCCAUAUCAUCUCUAUAUUGUGUUGCAUGACUGAGGUGUUAAAUCACUGGAAAAAAUAGUUUAUUUGGGGGAGUUUAUAGAAACUCUUACAAUUUUCCCAAUAAUGGCAAGAGAUCAACAAGUGCUGUAGCGAUACAGUGUCUUAUAAGUGAGAUGACCAGGGAACAUCACUCUGGAUUCCUAUUUUUUUAACAGAAACCAGUCAGAGAACAUACCAUGCAGAGGAACAGACAGCAUACACAGAAGCUUUCAUUUCAGAAGCCUUAAGCCCCAGGAGUAAUUCAUUCUCAGGAACUGAUUUUAAUCACAGUGGAAGACAGCUGUCCUGCUGCUCACAGAUAGCCUCCUCUAAGCAACAUUGUCUCUACACAGAGCCUUGCAAAACUCAGAAUACAGAGUGCAUGAUGCUGAAUUAUUAUGUGAUUGACUGCUAAAUAAUUCCUUGAAUGUCAUACACGGCAACAUGUUUACUACCAGUUUGUGCAAUUCAAAUUGUUUGUAUUUGUCUGCAGAAGAGCAGAAAUGAAACAGAACUUUGUAUAUUUUAAAUAUUUUUAUCUACUCUAUGAAAUGCAGUAGUAAAAAAAUGAGCAACAUAGCACAUUAUGUUAUAUAUGUCAAGAAGAGUAGAUGAGUUUUAUCAUACAGUGAAACAUGAGCCAGAAUCAAGCACAUAGCGUAACUACAAGCAUAGGUUGUUAAUUGGGACUGACUUAACCCAUACAGUUAAGUAGGAGAAGAAAUGGUAACCAUCUACUUUAUCCACAGAUUAAUGAAUAUGCACAAGUUUUGAUUCACAUAUCAACUUUUUAGUUUUUACUUUUUGCAUGUCCCCUGACAUAGGUUUAUUGCUAAAGUGAUGAACAGCUACAUGUAAAGUUUGAACAAAUCUGGUGCAUUUUUUCUCCAAAUAUGUGCAGACAUACCACACACAAGAAUAUGUUUUAUAUUAUAAAUGUGUGUCCUACUUCUUUUAAUUUUU